GCAAUCCUGGUGGCGAGUGGCGAACGGGUGAGUAAUAUAUCGGAACGUGCCCAGAUCGUGGGGGAUAACGCAGCGAAAGCUGUGCUAAUACCGCAUACGAUCUCUGGAUGAAAGCGGGGGACUCGCAAGAGCCUCGCGCGAUUGGAGCGGCCGAUAUCAGAUUAGCUAGUUGGUGGGGUAAAGGCCCACCAAGGCGACGAUCUGUAGCUGGUCUGAGAGGACGACCAGCCACACUGGAACUGAGACACGGUCCAGACUCCUACGGGAGGCAGCAGUGGGGAAUUUUGGACAAUGGGCGCAAGCCUGAUCCAGCAAUGCCGCGUGCAGGAUGAAGGCCUUCGGGUUGUAAACUGCUUUUGUACGGAACGAAAAGGUCUGCCUUAAUACGGUGGGCCCAUGACGGUACCGUAAGAAUAAGCACCGGCUAACUACGUGCCAGCAGCCGCGGUAAUACGUAGGGUGCGAGCGUUAAUCGGAAUUACUGGGCGUAAAGCGUGCGCAGGCGGUUAUAUAAGACAGAUGUGAAAUCCCCGGGCUCAACCUGGGACCUGCAUUUGUGACUGUAUAGCUAGAGUACGGUAGAGGGGGAUGGAAUUCCGCGUGUAGCAGUGAAAUGCGUAGAUAUGCGGAGGAACACCGAUGGCGAAGGCAAUCCCCUGGACCUGUACUGACGCUCAUGCACGAAAGCGUGGGGAGCAAACAGGAU
This 706-nucleotide ribosomal RNA is filed under the name uncultured beta proteobacterium. Its description in RNAcentral is "bacterial SSU rRNA". It matches the Rfam family "Bacterial small subunit ribosomal RNA", at positions 79 to 778 of the family's 1533-position model. Lineage: Bacteria; Pseudomonadati; Pseudomonadota; Betaproteobacteria. The record is from RNAcentral.